This 301-nucleotide ribosomal RNA is filed under the name uncultured bacterium. Its description in RNAcentral is "partial 16S ribosomal RNA". It matches the Rfam family "Bacterial small subunit ribosomal RNA", at positions 509 to 807 of the family's 1533-position model. The record is from RNAcentral.
CAGCAGCCGCGGGAAUACGUAGGGUGCGAGCGUUAAUCGGAAUUACUGGGCGUAAAGCGUGCGCAGGCGGUUAUAUAAGACAGAUGUGAAAUCCCCGGGCUCAACCUGGGACCUGCAUUUGUGACUGUAUAGCUAGAGUACGGUAGAGGGGGAUGGAAUUUCGCGUGUAGCAGUGAAAUGCGUAGAUAUGCGGAGGAACACCGAUGGCGAAGGUAAUCCCCUGGACCUGUACUGACGCUCGUGCACGAAAGCGUGGGGAGCAAACAGGAUUAGAUACCCGAGUAGUCCCUGUCUCUUAUAC